AGGACGAACGCUGGCGGCGUGCCUAACACAUGCAAGUCGAGCGAGAGCCUGGAAGCUUGCUUCCAGGGGACAGCGGCGAACGGGUGCGUAACACGUGGGCAACCUGCCCCUCUCUCUGGGAUAACCCCGGGAAACCGGAGCUAAUGCCGGAUACUCCGUCUGGAUCUCAUGGUCCGGCCGGGAAAGGUCCGCCGGAGAGGGAUGGGCCCGCGGCCUAUCAGCUUGUUGGUGGGGUAACGGCUCACCAAGGCUACGACGGGUAGCUGGUCUGAGAGGAUGACCAGCCACAUUGGGACUGAGACACGGCCCAGACUCCUACGGGAGGCAGCAGUAGGGAAUCUUGGGCAAUGGGCGAAAGCCUGAUCCAGCCAUGCCGCGUGAGUGAAGAAGGCCUUAGGGUUGUAAAGCUCUUUUGGCGGGACGAUAAUGACGGUACCGCAGAAUAAGCCCGGCUAACUUCGUGCCAGCAGCCGAC
RNAcentral lists this ribosomal RNA (475 nucleotides) under uncultured bacterium. Its description in RNAcentral is "SSU rRNA". It matches the Rfam family "Bacterial small subunit ribosomal RNA", at positions 26 to 518 of the family's 1533-position model. The record is from RNAcentral.